UGGCGGACGGGUGAGUAACACGUGGGUGAUCUACCCAACAGAUCGGGAUAACAGCGGGAAACUGCUGCUAAUACCGGAUACGAUCCAUUUAAUCGUGGAUGAAAGGCGGCCUCUGCUUGCAAGCUGCCACUGUUGGAUGAGCCCGCGUCCCAUUAGCUAGUUGGCGGGGUAAUGGCCCACCAAGGCAACGAUGGGUAGCUGGUCUGAGAGGAUGACCAGCCACACUGGGACUGAAACACGGCCCAGACUCCUACGGGAGGCAGCAGUGGGGAAUAUUGCGCAAUGGGCGAAAGCCUGACGCAGCGACGCCGUGUGAGGGAAGAAGGCCUUCGGGUCGUAAACCUCUGUCAGAAGGGAAGAACCCCCAAGGUUCGAACAGGGCCUUGGGCUGACGGUACCUUCAGAGGAAGCACCGGCUAAUUCCGUGCCAGCAGCCGCGGUAAU
RNAcentral lists this ribosomal RNA (444 nucleotides) under bacterium enrichment culture clone N3h08. RNAcentral's name for it is "bacterial SSU rRNA". It matches the Rfam family "Bacterial small subunit ribosomal RNA", at positions 96 to 524 of the family's 1533-position model. The record is from RNAcentral.